GACGAACGCUGGCGGCGUGCUUAACACAUGCAAGUCGAACGGCAAGACCCUGAUUUCGUGGGGUGCUCGAGUGGCGAACGGGUGAGUAACACGUGUGUAACCUGAUCUUGACUUUCGGAUAACUUCAGGAAACUGGAGCUAAUAUCGUAUAGGAGCUCCUGCUGCAUGGUGGGGGUUGGAUAGUCUCGGCUGUUGGGGUUGGAUUCGCGGCUUAUCAGCUAGUUAGUUGGGUAGUGGCUUACCAAGGCUUUGACGGGUAGCCGGCAUGUGAGGGGGGACGGCCUCAAGAGGACUACGAUAGGGACCAGACGCGUACAGUAGGCAGAAGUGGGGAAUAUGGCACAAUGAUCGCGAGCCGGAGGCAGAGACCCUGCGUGCGUGAUGACGGCCUGUGGGGUGAAAACAGCUGUCGGUUGUUACGAAGCGGGAGUGACGGUAAUGAGUAAAUAAGCACCGGCUAACUACGUG
RNAcentral lists this ribosomal RNA (468 nucleotides) under uncultured bacterium. Its description in RNAcentral is "partial 16S ribosomal RNA". It matches the Rfam family "Bacterial small subunit ribosomal RNA", at positions 28 to 507 of the family's 1533-position model. The record is from RNAcentral.